UUUUCAACUGCAAUCUGUACUCCGGUCAUCUCUUGCCCGCGGCGGGUAAAACUGGACAGGCAGCAUGUCAGAGCAGCAGGAUGCCGGCGAGCUUCGCUUUGUCCUGGAACCACGAAACUGUCGACAGGACAGGCUUUCAGAGACGAGUAGCGUCUGCAGAGGAGAAACACUCUGCAUAUGCAUGCAUGCGUGCACGGGCGUCCGGCUCUGCCGGUGCCGGUGCUUUCUCGUGCAAGCC
RNAcentral lists this long non-coding RNA (238 nucleotides) under Setaria italica (foxtail millet). Its description in RNAcentral is "long non-coding RNA (SITA_LNC005374)". The record is from RNAcentral. Lineage: Eukaryota; Viridiplantae; Streptophyta; Magnoliopsida; Poales; Poaceae.